CCAAUCGAACUCGGAGAUAGCUGGUUCUCCCCGAAAUAGCUUUAGGGCUAGCCUCGAUUUAGAUUACCGGGGGUAGAGCACUGAAUGGGCUAGGGGGCCACAAAGCUUACCGAACCCUAUCAAACUUCGAAUACCGGAUAAUUGAUGAUCGGGAGUCAGACAGUGUGAGAUAAGUUUCAUUGUCGAAAGGGAAACAGCCCAGAUCUACGACUAAGGUCCCAAAGUUCAAGUUAAGUGGAAAAGGAUGUGCAAUUGCGCAGACAACCAGGAUGUUGGCUUAGUAGCAGCCAUUCAUUCAAAGAGUGCGUAAUAGCUCACUGGUCGAGUGAUUGUGCGCCGAAAAUGUAACGGGGCUAAACUUGACACCGAAGUCUAGGCAGAAGGAAACUUCUGGGUAGGGGAGCAACGUGUACGGGCAGAAGCAGAAGCGGAAGCGACUGUGGACUGUACAGGAGAGAGAAUGCCGGCAUGAGUAGCGAGAGCAAAGUGAGAAUCUUUGCCGUCGAAAGCCUAAGGUUUCCUGAGGAAGGCUCGUCCUCUCAGGGUAAGUCGGGACCUAAGCCGAGGACAAUAGUCGUAGGCGAUGGACAAUCGGUUAAUAUUCCGAUACCGCCGAGCAACCGGAUGCAGUGACACAGAAGGAUAGGCAGAGCGUGGCGAUGGUAGACCACGUCCAAGCAGUGAGGCUGUUGUGUAGUGAAGUACGCACAACGUAAGGCUGGGCUGUGAUGGGGAACGAUUACGAUCGGUAAGCUGCUGAAUUCACGCUGGCGAGAAAAGCUGCUACGAAGCGAAGGCGCCCGUACCGCAAACCGACACAGGUAGGCGAGGAGAGAAUCCUAAGACGAGCGGGAGAACCCUUGUUAAGGAACUCGGCAAAAUGACUCCGUAACUUAGGGAGAAGGAGUGCCCAGGAAUGGGCCGCAGAGAAUAGACCCAAGCGACUGUUUACCAAAAACACAGGUCUGUGCGAAGUAGAGAUACGACGUAUACGGGCUGACACCUGCCCAGUGCCGGAAGGUUAAGGGGAAAUGUUAGGGCAACCGAAGCAUGGAACUUAAGCCCCGGUGAACGGCGGCCGUAACUAUAACGGUCCUAAGGUAGCGAAAUUCCUUGUCGGGUAAGUUCCGACCCGCACGAAUGGAGUAACGAUUUGGGCACUGUCUCAACAGGGGGCCCGGCGAAAUUGUAGUAUACGUGAAGAUGCGUAUUAACCCGCGACUGGACGGAAAGACCCCGUAGAGCUUUACUGUAACUUGAUAUUGAGUCUCGGCAAUUGAUGCACAGAAUAGGUGGGAGACUGAGAAGUGCGGGUUUCGGCCUGCAUGGAGUCAACUUUGGGAUACCACUCUUCGAUUGCUGAGGUUCUAACCGAGGCCCGUGAAACCGGGAACGGGACAGUGUCAGGUGGGCAGUUUGACUGGGGCGGUCGCCUCCUAAAAAGUAACGGAGGCGCCCAAAGGUUCCCUCAGAAUGGUUGGAAAUCAUUCAUCGAGUGUAAAGGCAGAAGGGAGCUUGACUGUGAGACAGACAUGUCGAACAGAUGCGAAAGCAGGGCUUAGUGAUCAGGUGGUAUGAGAAUGGAAUUGCCAUCGCUUAACGGAUAAAAGUUACCUCGGGGAUAACAGGCUUAUCUCCCCCAAGAGUUCACAUCGACGGGGAGGUUUGGCACCUCGAUGUCGGCUCAUCACAUCCUGGAGCGGAAGUACGUUCCAAGGGUUGGGCUGUUCGCCCAUUAAAGUGGUACGCGAGCUGGGUUCAGAACGUCGUGAGACAGUUCGGUCCUUAUCUGUCGCAGGCGGAGGAUAUUUGAAGGGAGUUGGCCCUAGUACGAGAGGACCAGGCUGAACGAACCGCUGGUGCACCAGUUGUCAUACCAAUGGCACAGCUGGGUAGCUAAGUUCGGAAGGGAUAAACGCUGAAAGCAUCUAAGUGUGAAGCCCACCCUAAGAUAAGAUAUCCCAUACCGUAAGGUAGUAAGAUUCCACGUAGACUAUGUGGUUGAUAGGUUGGAGGUGUAAGUGCAGCAAUGCAUUAAGCUGACCAAUACUAAUAAAUCGAGGGCUUAACCAC
This 2073-nucleotide ribosomal RNA is filed under the name human gut metagenome. RNAcentral's name for it is "bacterial LSU rRNA". It matches the Rfam family "Bacterial large subunit ribosomal RNA", at positions 829 to 2925 of the family's 2925-position model. The record is from RNAcentral.